This 497-nucleotide ribosomal RNA is filed under the name uncultured bacterium. RNAcentral describes it as "partial 16S ribosomal RNA". It matches the Rfam family "Bacterial small subunit ribosomal RNA", at positions 28 to 507 of the family's 1533-position model. The record is from RNAcentral.
GAUGAACGCUGGCGGCGUGCCUAAUACAUGCAAGUCGAGCGAACAGAUGAGGAGCUUGCUCCUCUGACGUUAGCGGCGGACGGGUGAGUAACACGUGGAUAACCUCCCUAUAAGACUGGGAUAACUUCGGGAAACCGGAGCUAAUACCGGAUAAUAUAUUGAACCGCAUGGUUCAAUAGUGAAAGACGGUUUUGCUUUCACUGAUAGAUGGAUCCGCGCCGCAUUAGCUAGUUGGUAAGGUAACGGCGUACCAAGGCAACGAUGCGUAGCCGACCUGAGAGGGUGAUCGGCCACACUGGAACUGAGACACGGUCCAGACUACUACGGGAGGCAGCAGUAGGGAAUCUUACGCAAUGGGCGAAAGCCUGACGGAGCAACGCCGCGUGAGUGAUGAAGGUCUUCGGAUCGUAAAACUCUGUUAUUAGGGAAGAACAAAUGUGUAAGUAACUAUGCACGUCUUGACGGUACCUAAUCAGAAAGCCACGGCUAACUACGUG